AUUGAACGCUGGCGGCAGGCCUAACACAUGCGAGUCGAGCGGAUGAAGGGAGCUUACUCCUGGAUUCAGCGGCGGACGGGUGAGUAAUGCCUAGGAAUCUGCCUGGUAGUGGGGGAUAACGUCCGGAAACGGGCGCUAAUACCGCAUACGUCCUGAGGGAGAAAGUGGGGGAUCUUCGGACCUCACGCUAUCAGAUGAGCCUAGGUCGGAUUAGCUAGUUGGUGGGGUAAAGGCCUACCAAGGCGACGAUCCGUAACUGGUCUGAGAGGAUGAUCAGUCACACUGGAACUGAGACACGGUCCAGACUCCUACGGGAGGCAGCAGUGGGGAAUAUUGGACAAUGGGCGAAAGCCUGAUCCAGCCAUGCCGCGUGUGUGAAGAAGGUCUUCGGAUUGUAAAGCACUUUAAGUUGGGAGGAAGGGCAGUAAGUUAAUACCUUGCUGUUUUGACGUUACCAACAGAAUAAGCACCGGCUAACUUCGUG
This 484-nucleotide ribosomal RNA is filed under the name uncultured bacterium. RNAcentral's name for it is "partial 16S ribosomal RNA". It matches the Rfam family "Bacterial small subunit ribosomal RNA", at positions 30 to 507 of the family's 1533-position model. The record is from RNAcentral.